This 956-nucleotide ribosomal RNA is filed under the name uncultured archaeon. RNAcentral describes it as "bacterial SSU rRNA". It matches the Rfam family "Archaeal small subunit ribosomal RNA", at positions 1 to 922 of the family's 1478-position model. The record is from RNAcentral.
CGGCUCGGCGUGCAGCUUGCAUGCCUGCAGGUCGACGAUUUUCCGGUUGAUCCUGCCGGAGGCCACUGCUAUCGGGAUUCGACUAAGCCAUGCGAGUCUAUGGUUUCGGCCAUGGCGGACGGCUCAUUAACACGUAGUUAACAUACCGUGAGGUGGGGGAUAACCUUGGGAAACUGAGGCUAAUACCCGAUAGAAAAACCUAGUCUGGAACGAUUCUUUUUCGAAAGCAUACGCUCCUGAGGAUUGGACUGCGCUCUAUUAGGCAGUUGGCGGGGUAACGGCCCACCAAGCCUACGAUCGGUACGGGCCUUGAGAGAGGAAGCCCGGAGAUGGGGACUGAGACACUGCCCCAGGCCCUACGGGGCGCAGCAGGCGCGAAACCUCCGCAAUGCACGAAAGUGCGACGGGGGGAUCCCAAGUGCUCAUGCACAGUGUGGGCUUUUAUCGAGUGUAAAAACCUCGAGGAAUAAAGGCUGGGCAAGACCGGUGCCAGCAGCCGCGGUAACACCGGCGGCCUGAGUGGUGGCCACAAUUACUGGGUUUAAAGCGUCCGUAGCAGGACUUGAAAGUCCUUGUUUAAAUCCUGCGGCCCAACUUCAGGACUGGCAGGGAUACUUCAGGUCUUGGGACCGGGAGAGGACAAGGGAACUUCAGGGGUAGCGGUGAAAUCUGUAGAUCCAUAGAUGGACCACCGGUGGCGAAGGCGCUUGUCUGGAACGGGUCCGACGGUGAGGGACGAAAGCCUAGGGGAGCGAACCGGAUUAGAUACCCGGGUAGUCCUGGUAGUAAACUUUGUGAACGAGGUGUUAGGUGGUCCCCGUGCCCAUCUAGUGCCGAAGGGAAGCCGUUAAGCUCUACCACCUGGGGAGUACGGUCGCAAGACUGAAACUUAAAGGAAUUGGCGGGGGAGCACCACAACGGGUGGAGCCUGCGGUUCAAUUGGAUUCAACGCCGGG